RNAcentral lists this ribosomal RNA (444 nucleotides) under uncultured bacterium. Its description in RNAcentral is "partial 16S ribosomal RNA". It matches the Rfam family "Bacterial small subunit ribosomal RNA", at positions 338 to 795 of the family's 1533-position model. The record is from RNAcentral.
CCUACGGGAGGCAGCAGUGGGGAAUAUUGGGCAAUGGGCGCAAGCCUGACCCAGCAACGCCGCGUGAAGGAAGAAGGCUUUCGGGUUGUAAACUUCUUUUCUCAGGGACGAAGCAAGUGACGGUACCUGAGGAAUAAGCCACGGCUAACUACGUGCCAGCAGCCGCGGUAAUACGUAGGUGGCAAGCGUUAUCCGGAUUUACUGGGGGUAAAGGGAGUGUAGGCGGGAAAGCAAGUCAGAUGUGAAAACCAUGGGCUCAACCUGUGGCCUGCAUUUGAAACUGUUUUUCUUGAGUACUGGAGAGGCAGACGGAAUUCCUAGUGUAGCGGUGAAAUGCGUAGAUAUUAGGAGGAACACCAGUGGCGAAGGCGGUCUGCUGGACAGCAACUGACGCUGAGGCGCGAAAGCGUGGGGAGCAAACAGGAUUAGAUACCCCUGGUAGUC